Molecule: ribosomal RNA, 253 nt
Filed under: uncultured bacterium
Lineage: Bacteria
Description: partial 16S ribosomal RNA
Rfam family: Bacterial small subunit ribosomal RNA
Source: RNAcentral
UACAGAGGGUGCAAGCGUUAAUCGGAAUUACUGGGCGUAAAGCGUGCGUAGACGGUUACAUAAGUCGGGUGUGAAAGCCCCGGGCUCAACCUGGGAAUUGCAUUCGAGACUGCGUAGCUAGGGUGCGGAAGAGGGAAGCAGAAUUUCCGGUGUAGCGGUGAAAUGCGUAGAUAUCGGGAGGAACACCUGUGGCGAAAGCGGCGCACUGGACCAUAACUGACGCUGAUGCGCGAAAGCUAGGGGAGCAAACAGG